Molecule: long non-coding RNA, 358 nt
Filed under: Anneissia japonica
Lineage: Eukaryota; Metazoa; Echinodermata; Crinoidea; Comatulida; Comatulidae
Description: uncharacterized LOC117118121
Source: RNAcentral
UUCAUCCGAAACUGAUAUUUCUAACAGAUAUAGAGGGCGCCAGAAUUUGAUCGUGUCGUAGGUCAAAUGCAACAUGUGUAUGGCUGCCACGAAUGUUUUACUGAGCUAAAAGUUAGCUAAAUUACUGGGUUUUCGAACCAUCACUGAUGUUUUUUAUCACUGUCUGAUGAUUAAGAAUGAACUGUUAUACUGUACUGAACUAUGAUAGAUACUCUACUGAAUGAACUGUAUGAUUGUUGCUUAGUAUCCGGUCACAGUAAAUUGAAUGCUGAUUUUUAAUAAAUCUCCAUACUUUACGGUCGGAUACGGUCUCAAUCAUUUGUUGUCUUCAAAUCCUCUGGCCUUCCAGGGAUACUGA